This 1275-nucleotide ribosomal RNA is filed under the name human gut metagenome. RNAcentral's name for it is "bacterial LSU rRNA". It matches the Rfam family "Bacterial large subunit ribosomal RNA", at positions 721 to 1977 of the family's 2925-position model. The record is from RNAcentral.
CCCGGUGAUCUAGCCAUGGGCAGGUUGAAGGUUGGGUAACACUAACUGGAGGACCGAACCGACUAAUGUUGAAAAAUUAGCGGAUGACUUGUGGCUGGGGGUGAAAGGCCAAUCAAACCGGGAGAUAGCUGGUUCUCCCCGAAAGCUAUUUAGGUAGCGCCUCGUGAAUUCAUCUCCGGGGGUAGAGCACUGUUUCGGCAAGGGGGUCAUCCCGACUUACCAACCCGAUGCAAACUGCGAAUACCGGAGAAUGUUAUCACGGGAGACACACGGCGGGUGCUAACGUCCGUCGUGAAGAGGGAAACAACCCAGACCGCCAGCUAAGGUCCCAAAGUCAUGGUUAAGUGGGAAACGAUGUGGGAAGGCCCAGACAGCCAGGAUGUUGGCUUAGAAGCAGCCAUCAUUUAAAGAAAGCGUAAUAGCUCACUGGUCGAGUCGGCCUGCGCGGAAGAUGUAACGGGGCUAAACCAUGCACCGAAGCUGCGGCAGCGACAUUAUGUGUUGUUGGGUAGGGGAGCGUUCUGUAAGCCUGUGAAGGUGUACUGUGAGGUAUGCUGGAGGUAUCAGAAGUGCGAAUGCUGACAUAAGUAACGAUAAAGCGGGUGAAAAGCCCGCUCGCCGGAAGACCAAGGGUUCCUGUCCAACGUUAAUCGGGGCAGGGUGAGUCGACCCCUAAGGCGAGGCCGAAAGGCGUAGUCGAUGGGAAACAGGUUAAUAUUCCUGUACUUGGUGUUACUGCGAAGGGGGGACGGAGAAGGCUAUGUUGGCCGGGCGACGGUUGUCCCGGUUUAAGCGUGUAGGCUGGUUUUCCAGGCAAAUCCGGAAAAUCAAGGCUGAGGCGUGAUGACGAGGCACUACGGUGCUGAAGCAACAAAUGCCCUGCUUCCAGGAAAAGCCUCUAAGCAUCAGGUAACAUCAAAUCGUACCCCAAACCGACACAGGUGGUCAGGUAGAGAAUACCAAGGCGCUUGAGAGAACUCGGGUGAAGGAACUAGGCAAAAUGGUGCCGUAACUUCGGGAGAAGGCACGCUGAUAUGUAGGUGAAGCGACUUGCUCGUGGAGCUGAAAUCAGUCGAAGAUACCAGCUGGCUGCAACUGUUUAUUAAAAACACAGCACUGUGCAAACACGAAAGUGGACGUAUACGGUGUGACGCCUGCCCGGUGCCGGAAGGUUAAUUGAUGGGGUUAGCGGUAACGCGAAGCUCUUGAUCGAAGCCCCGGUAAACGGCGGCCGUAACUAUAACGGUCCUAAGGUAGCGAAAUUCCUUGUCGGGU